UACGGGGGGGGGCAAGCGUUGUUCGGAAUUACUGGGCGUAAAGGGCUCGUAGGCGGCCAACUAAGUCCGACGUGAAAUCCCAAGGCUUAACCUUGGAACUGCGUCGGAUACUGGAUGGCUUGAAUUCGGGAGAGGGAUGCAGAAUUCCAGGUGUAGCGGUGAAAUGCGUAGAUAUCUGGAGGAACACCGAUGGCGAAGGCAAUCCCCUGGGCCUGUACUGACGCUCAUGCACGAAAGCGUGGGGAGCAAACAGG
RNAcentral lists this ribosomal RNA (254 nucleotides) under uncultured bacterium. Its description in RNAcentral is "partial 16S ribosomal RNA". It matches the Rfam family "Bacterial small subunit ribosomal RNA", at positions 524 to 776 of the family's 1533-position model. The record is from RNAcentral.